UGGGGAAUUUUGGACAAUGGGCGCAAGCCUGAUCCAGCAAUGCCGCGUGCAGGAAGAAGGCCUUCGGGUUGUAAACUGCUUUUGUCAGGGAAGAAAUCCUUUGGGCUAAUACCUCGGAGGGAUGACGGUACCUGAAGAAUAAGCACCGGCUAACUACGUGCCAGCAGCCGCGGUAAUACGUAGGGUGCGAGCGUUAAUCGGAAUUACUGGGCGUAAAGCGUGCGCAGGCGGCUUUGCAAGACAGAGGUGAAAUCCCCGGGCUCAACCUGGGAACUGCCUUUGUGACUGCAAGGCUAGAGUACGGCAGAGGGGGAUGGAAUUCCGCGUGUAGCAGUGAAAUGCGUAGAUAUGCGGAGGAACACCGAUGGCGAAGGCAAUCCCCUGGGCCUGUACUGACGCUCAUGCACGAAAGCGUGGGGAGCAAACAGG
RNAcentral lists this ribosomal RNA (429 nucleotides) under uncultured Gammaproteobacteria bacterium. Its description in RNAcentral is "bacterial SSU rRNA". It matches the Rfam family "Bacterial small subunit ribosomal RNA", at positions 355 to 776 of the family's 1533-position model. The record is from RNAcentral. RNAcentral also lists the same sequence under 1 other name. Lineage: Bacteria; Pseudomonadati; Pseudomonadota; Gammaproteobacteria.